Molecule: ribosomal RNA, 465 nt
Filed under: uncultured bacterium
Lineage: Bacteria
Description: partial 16S ribosomal RNA
Rfam family: Bacterial small subunit ribosomal RNA
Source: RNAcentral
GAUGAACGCUGGCGGCGUGCUUAACACAUGCAAGUCGAACGGAAAGGCUCCUGCUUGCAGGGGUACUCGAGUGGCGAACGGGUGAGUAACACGUGGGUGAUCUGCCCUGCACUUCGGGAUAAGCCUGGGAAACUGGGUCUAAUACCGGAUAGGACGAUGGUUUGGAUGCCAUUGUGGAAAGUUUUUCGGUGUGGGAUGAGCUCGCGGCCUAUCAGCUUGUUGGUGGGGUAAUGGCCUACCAAGGCGUCGACGGGUAGCCGGCCUGAGAGGGUGUACGGCCACAUUGGGACUGAGGUACGGCCCAGACUGCGACGGGAGGCAGCAGGGGGGAAUAUUGCACAAUGGGCGCAAGCCUGAUGCAGCGACGCCGCGUGGGGGAUGACGGCCUUCGGGUUGUAAACUCCUUUCGCUAGGGACGAAGCGCAAGUGACGGUACCUGGAGAAGAAGCACCGGCUAACUACGUG